CCGGCAGACCCGGAUUGAUCCUUUUCGGGUCAACUUGAGGCUGUCCGGUCUGUAGUCAAGGUAAAAGUUACGUUUGCCUGGAAAGUCCGUCUGCAUUCCCGUUGAACCGGCCAGGGCGAUACUGAAUGGAGAAGUUGUAUGGUUGUAAUCGUCCAUUGUCCCCAGCCACUCGGUUCAGCCAUACUAGGGGGUUAUGGUCUGUGAUCAAAGUGAAUUCCUGACCGUAGAGGUAUGG
Pelobates cultripes (western spadefoot toad) is the source of this 235-nucleotide non-coding RNA. Lineage: Eukaryota; Metazoa; Chordata; Amphibia; Anura; Pelobatidae. The record is from the annotation of a GenBank genome assembly.